UACAGAGGUCUCAAGCGUUGUUCGGAUUCAUUGGGCGUAAAGGGUGCGUAGGUGGCGCUGUAAGUCAGGUGUGAAAUUUCGGAGCUUAACUCCGAAACUGCAUUGGAUACUGCCUUGCUAGAGUACUGGAGAGGGAACUGGAAUUUACGGUGUAGCAGUGAAAUGCGUAGAGAUCGUAAGGAAGGCCAGUGGCGAAGGCGAGUUCCUGGACAGUUACUGACGCUGAGGCACGAAGGCCAGGGGAGCAAACGGG
Molecule: ribosomal RNA, 253 nt
Filed under: uncultured bacterium
Lineage: Bacteria
Description: partial 16S ribosomal RNA
Rfam family: Bacterial small subunit ribosomal RNA
Source: RNAcentral